CGUACAUCCAGAGAACUUAGCAGAGAUGCUUUGGUGCCUUCGGGAACUCUGAGACAGGUGCUGCAUGGCUGUCGUCAGCUCGUGUUGUGAAAGUGUUGGGUUAAGUCCCGCAACGAGCGCAACCCUUAUCCUUUGUUGCCAGCGGUUCGGCCGGGAACUCAAAGGAGACUGCCGGUGAUAAACCGGAGGAAGGUGGGGAUGACGUCAAGUCAUCAUGGCCCUUACGGCCAGGGCUACACACGUGCUACAAUGGCGCAUACAAAGAGAAGCGACCUCGCGAGAGCAAGCGGACCUCAUAAAGUGCGUCGUAGUCCGGAUUGGAGUCUGCAACUCGACUCCAUGAAGUCGGAAUCGCUAGUAAUCGUAGAUCAGAAUGCUACGGUGAAUACGUUCCCGGGCCUUGUACACACCGCCCGUCACACCAUGGGAGUGGGUUGCAAAAGAAGUAGGUAGCUUAACCUUCGGGAGGGCGCUUACCACUUUGUGAUUCAUGACUGGGGUGAAGUCGUAACAAGGUAAGCGUAGCGAG
RNAcentral lists this ribosomal RNA (529 nucleotides) under uncultured bacterium. Its description in RNAcentral is "bacterial SSU rRNA". It matches the Rfam family "Bacterial small subunit ribosomal RNA", at positions 981 to 1509 of the family's 1533-position model. The record is from RNAcentral.